AGUCCAGUAUCACCCAAGUAGCAUCCAGGUUGGUACAUAGACACACUGUCAAUAUAUAUAUGAUAUCCCCCAGUGAGGUAUAAGUCCAGUAUCACCCAAGUAGCAUCCAGGUUGGUACAUAUACACACUGUCAAUAUACAUAUGAUAUCCCCCAGUGAGGUAUAAGUCCAGUAUCACCCAAGUAGCAUCCAUAUUGGUACAUAUACACACUGUCAAUAUAUAUAUGAUAUCCCCCAGUGAGGUAUAAGUCCAGUAUCACCCAAGUAGCAUCCAGGUUGGUACAUAGUCACACUGUCUAUAUAUAUAUAUGAUAUCCCCCAGCAGAUGUUUAUGAUACAACAACAAUGUACGUGCAAUAUUGUGACACUGUAUUAUGACAUCCCCUGUAAUAUAUUUAUACAUCUGAAUUGAUGUUGUCUGUCCUGCUGAUCAAUUGUAGAUAUAUUGCAUGUUAUAUAUAAGUUUUGUAAUGGAAGAUGAAGAUGAACGGCUCCUAGCCUGUACAGUUUGUUUCCAGCAGAUCCUGGCCAUAACAAGAAUGGAGACUGUGUGUGGUCAUUCCAAAUAUAGCUUCAUGUUUUAUAUAGCUUACAUUAAUUAAUAUCUAAUAUAUUGUGUCAAUGUGUUUGGUGCCUGAGUAGAACACCUGGUGUUCCUUGCAUUGUGGCUGUAUUUGCAGGUUUGUGUGAGUGUGUAGAGACAGCUGGAGCCUUGGCUUUCUGUUGUCUGUUUUACACAUUGAAACUUGAUCUCAUUUACUGUCAAACUUCAAAAUGUCUGUAGUUAAUAUGCCAUGUUGGUCCUUGUUACAGUUGAGCUGUCUGAUGUUAGUCAAGUCAUGAUGUGCUUGUAUUCUAAACAAGUCCUCUACCCCUUACUGAUCUUGUGCCCUCUACCUUCACCAGCUGCCCUGCCCCUACCAGUCACCCAUCCACUGCCAGCGUCAAUGAUUACCUCGCCUACCACCCCAGAACCAAACACAACCACCCCAACACCCCCCAAACACCACACCCCUAGGACUCCCAACACCACCCUAACAUCACCUCAACACCAUCCUACCCUGACUAAUUAAUUUUAUGAAGCCCCCCAUCCAGUACCAGCAGCAAAGACACACUCCCAACAGGACUCCCAACACCAGUCUAGCACCACCCCCAACACCACCCCAACAUCACCCCCAGGACUUCCAACACCUCCCCAUCACCACCCUACACAUCUGCAACCUUCCCUACCCUGACUGAUUAAUUUUAUGAAGUCGAACAUGACAAAGAUCUGUGUGUGAUGACAUUGUGUUGUUUUCUAGUCCCCAUCUUCACGGACCUCCCAGUCAGGAGAGUGACCCAUCUUCUGUGUAUUACCAACUAUAGAUUGUUACAUGUCAAUCUUGUCAUCUUUUUAUCAGUUCUGUAUCAGUCCACGUGUAUCAGAUCUGUAUCAACCCCUUUAUCAGUUUCAUUGCUGUGCUGAAAACUGAAGUAUACUGAUGAAAUGAAAUAAAGGAACAUGUAGAAAACUUAGAUGAGAAGAAUGUCGACAGCUGGUUGCAAUCAUAGAGCAUCAGAGAGACUUUGUUUACAGGUUGUGUGUAGAACACAUUGAAAUGUUCAGCGUUGCCAGAAUGAAACACUAUGCACAUUUAUGAGACUUAAUCCAUUAAAUUGAAUUGUUCUGUGUUAUGAAAUUAGUUUAUAAUCUCAACAGAUUGUUUUGUUUAGGACUGUGUAUGGCAAUUUCUAGUGUACAAUUAUGUCCCUUUUUUAUUCUAGGAUAUGCUGAUGUCGUGAACUUGAUUAUUAUCAGUGAGAACCAUACUGAUAUUUUAGCAGUUCUCCAAAACAGCCGACUUCCACAAAUUGUUUUCCCUCCCACUUGAGUAUCAUCAUUACUUUAUAAAUGGGAGGUCACAGGUUUCCCAGCUGUCUUAGGUGCAGCAAUAACUCGGCAGAGUGGUCUCCCUUCAGCACGCCAGAAAUAUUCAGUCUUGAGUUCAAAUUCCAAGUUUGCCAUGAUAUUGUCUCAAGGAUUGUCCCCAUACCCAUGCUCAUGGGUUUUACAAAAGUGGUAAACAUCUUGGACCUUCACACUUUCUCCCAACAUUCAACAGACACUGAAAUACUGUUAGAAAUGGGUGUUAAAUCAAACUCACUCACUGACUCACUGUAACGUAUGUUAUAUUUGGGAUUACUCUUUUACAUUUGACCACCUUCUAAAUGGCAUUGUGUGUUUAUCACUCACUCACUCACAAGAUGAAUGUGUUCAGGGACUAUGAAAGAUGCCUUGUGAAACAAAUUGUUACCUGUUCCCUUAUUUCUUUCCAUCAGUAUUGUACGUUUCUGUGCUACUCAAAAUAUGUUAAAAAACUCCCACUUUUGUCAUAGACUUGAGUUAAUCUGUCAAAGCCACGAUACAUUACCUGUAGUUGUAUGGAAAAACCCAGGGGUUCCUUAACUUGUUUUGAGUAGUAUAAGUGACUUCUGUCAUGAUUAUCAGGGCUGUCACCAGUGUAUGAAAUAAGCCAAAAACCCAGCCAGACAUCUGGGCUGGUAACUUCAAAAACCUACCAGCCCAGAAGAGAUUUAACCAGUCAGUGCCAGUGGGCAUGUUAUCGGAAUAUAUUUUUUUCACCCGUCCAUCGGGCUGGCUAGCUGUAAAAUUAGACCGUCCGGCAGAAAUCUAGCCCGUCUCGGGCGGUCGGACGGGCCUUAUUUCAUACACUGCUGUCACUAUGCAGGUGUUCCACUGUUCGGAUGUUGUGACGAACACGGAUUGCAGCUUCUAAGGACUCCGAGAUGGGAAGUGAAAACAGUCGUCAAGGUUGUCAUAAUUCCAUUAUGUAUCAGUUUCCUGAAACACCUGGCAGCCUGGGUUGUCCUCAUUCCUUACUGUUUUACUCAGAGAUAAAAAGGAAGUUGAUCAAAGCAGGUGAAACAGAAGGUGACAGGAAGCUGAUCUUUUAUGUAAGUUUGCGUCACAAUGAGUCUGAGACAAACGGCGGAGCUUGACAAGAUCCUUUGAUCCUGAACUUCGUCAUGUGGCAUGGCUGUCAUGUCUGUGGUCAGUACUGGUCAGACUCAGUGUUCCAGUUACACAACAUACCUGCAGAAAUUCCCAGUACUGUUGAGAUGUAUGUACAUAUUUUAGACAUGUAUAAUGGCCUGAGUUGAGGAGAUAUUUUAACAAAUGCUUGUUGUUUGAAUGUGAUUAUUUUAGACAUUGUUAUUAUUGUUAAUAUCUAGACAUAUCAUGUGUAAAGAUUGUAGAUGUUGCUGUUGUCGGGUAAAUAAUGUGACAUAUCAUUUUAAGGCUAAAUGAUGGAUUAAAUAAUUUAUUGAAAAUGAGAACUUUUCUUUCCAAGAAUGCAGGUGAGUGCAGGGUGACACUAUGCACAUAUUUCAUGCAGUAUGCCUUUAGACAACUACAGGACUGUGGUAAUUAAAAAUGUUGAUAAUUUUUAGACCAAAAGUGAGGAAUUAUUAUAUGAGAGAACAUGAGUGUUCAAACAGGAACUUCAGG
Molecule: long non-coding RNA, 3510 nt
Organism: Haliotis rubra (blacklip abalone)
Lineage: Eukaryota; Metazoa; Mollusca; Gastropoda; Lepetellida; Haliotidae
Exons: 2
Source: RefSeq, a predicted model, not a curated record